This 257-nucleotide ribosomal RNA is filed under the name uncultured bacterium. RNAcentral describes it as "partial 16S ribosomal RNA". It matches the Rfam family "Bacterial small subunit ribosomal RNA", at positions 29 to 289 of the family's 1533-position model. The record is from RNAcentral.
ACGAACGCUGGCGGCGUGCUUAACACAUGCAAGUCGAGCGGUAAGGCCCUUUCGGGGGUACACGAGUGGCGAACGGGUGAGUAACACGUGGGUAAUCUGCCCUGCACUUCGGGAUAAGCCUGGGAAACCGGGUCUAAUACCGGAUAUGAGCUCCUGCCGCAUGGUGGGGGUUGGAAAGUUCUUCGGUGCAGGAUGAGUCCGCGGCCUAUCAGCUUGUUGGUGGGGUAAUGGCCUACCAAGGCGACGACGGGUAGCCG